ACCUGAAAGAAAACAAACAGCGAGCAGAUGCUGAUUUCCUCACUUAACUGCACAUAUUUUAUAGUAAUUCUCUCUGAUUUUCUCCCAAGACACCCACCUGACCUUCGUUUCUCUCCAGUCUCUCCUAGUAGUGGCCAAAUGUUGCUAAUCGUGUAAGAUUCAGCUCAUGGAAAUAGGUUGCAACUAAGAGAAAUUUACCCUUUGACCUUAAUGCCUUUGCAUGCACAAUAGAGACCAAGACAAGUCUUUGCUAAAAGGAAUGCAUUUUUCUUGGCAAAACCUGAUUCUUAGACCAAACCAAAUUAAUGCUGUGAAGAGAAUUCAUUUUUGCUGUUUCACAAAAGCAACACAAAAACAAUAAUUCAGUGAUUUGAGAAUGAAGAAUGGCAAAACACAUUUUCCAAGAAUUUUCAAGGAACUAAAAAUGGAUCAUAAAUAUCAUCAUAAGUAUUUUUGCUUCUCUCUACAUAACCGAGAGUGAUUUCCAAGCAUGAAUUAAUUUAGAAUUAAUGCACUGUGAUGAAGCAGGGAUUAGUUAGCCCAGAAUUUUUCGGAGUUGUCCGUAGACAAUUUAGUUGGGAGAGCAUCUCCACAGCGCAUCCUUUUCCAUUUCUGGUGGGAGCUGAAAAAUCUCUAUGGUAACUAAAACAAUAAUCUACAGAGGAAAAAAGAGAAAGUUUGGAAAACUGUUGAAAUGAAUUUCAGCUGCCUUUGUGAUCUGAAAAUAAAGAGGAGGCUCCACAUCAUCCAAGCAGUCAGUUUUUCGUGCAUCACCAAGUCCUUUGCAGGGCAUCACUCAGCCAUGACCGGUUCAGGCACAUUUUUAGCUGGACGGGCUGAGAUGCAGUGAGCUGAAGUGAAGUGUCUUGCUCACACACCAAAUCUGUUGCAAGACCUGGGAACAGAACUUCCUUGCUUUUCCCAUCCACAAAGAGCAAAGCUUAUAUUUUUCAGUCUAGAUUACUAUUUUCUUUUUUGGAUUAAGGAAAACAAAUGUGAGAGAGAAAGAAAACUGGUGACUCAUUGCAGUUUCUUUGCUGAAACACAGCUGCCCUUGUCACAGGAACAUGAUUCUUAGAGCCUGCAUCCAAAAUUUAUUGCAAAAUAAAACUGGAACUUUUAAAAACAACCAGGCUAAAUGAUGUUUCUAAUUCUCUUUUAAUACGUAUUUGUGAGUGCAGGUCCAGGCUCCAGCCAGGAUCAAGGGUAGGGCUGGAAACUCAAGAGGAACUAAGUUCUUGUGAAAUGUUCAGGCAGAUUUUGCAAACCCACACAGACUGCAUUGGCUGGACAAGCUGCAGAAUUAAAUAUGUGUUUUUUAAAGCUGUGAUGCUUCUGGACCUUCUGGGAUUCCUUCAGUGACAGGUCAAUAUAAUAGCACCCACACCACCACCCAAAGACACCGAUGAAACAGCAGCCUUUCCAGAGCCAGAAAGGAGCCAAGAACAGCCCAGCUGUUGGCACGGCAGCAUUCCCAGGAGCGCCAGCGCCUUGGCUCUCGGCUCACGGAUGUGGCUGCUCCAAAUCGCUCCAUCUCCUCCUGCACAGGCAGCAGGGAGCAGCUCCUGGCUGGCAGUGCCUGCUGUCAGCAGACGUCCUCGCAGAGCUGAGGAAGCUGUGAUUGAGGAAUUACAGCAGUCAGCGUGGUGCUCCUGAUCCUCCCAGACCAAAGCAGCGCCCCAGAAAGGGUUUCUGCUUUGCUGCAGGACUCGCUGGUGUGCUGCUGCUGGGAGACCCACCGGUACCAUGGAGGUUCUGAGCACUGCCCUGGGGUGCUAAAGAGCUGCUGUUACUUCCAGUGGCAAUUUAACCCAUGCGUAUGAGUUACAUUACAACAGGAUGGAUUUAUUUUAUGUAGGCAGCUACAAGCAGGCACCAAAUACCACGAAGCUCCUUCCAUCCGCAAAAGUGUAAGCUUUGCAUCAAAACACUGACGUCUGCUUCUUCUUCGUUGAAACUCUUCUUUCUCUAAGAUUAAUACAUCUUCAUCAUGUUGGCUCCUCACCUUGCUUCAGACAGGCAAUGGAGGGCACCAGCCUGGCCAUGCCUCGUGUUCCCAUGUACCUGCCUGGCUACCCUCCUGUGUUUCACAGAGCACACACCAGCUUUGCCUUGUUAAUUGAUUAGUAACCUAAUUGUACCAAUUCGGCAUAAUCCCCGGUAAGCAUAAUUGACUUAUGUGGAGCAAACGCAACAAAAAAAGGGUGUAUUUCCAUAUACUUCUUCUGUAUUAUGUCGCUGUUACAUUAAGCCAGCAAACUUUCAACCUCCUCAAUAUUCAGUAAAUUUAAGAAAAUGAAUUGAAGAUACUUGCUUAUUUUAAUAUGUACUCCUGAAGACAUUUUCCAAUUCUUUUUAUGGUUUAAUUAAAGCCUUAUGGCAAUGGUAUGCUUCUUUCUACCUACUAUGCCAGUGGUUAAAAAUUACAAGGCUUCAAGUACCCUGCAUGCCUUUAAUUGCUCUGCUGAAGAUAAAAGAACAGCAAUAUUUUUAUCACAACCAUUACAGCAGGCAAAAUUAAAAAUGCCCCUUACUCAUGUGAGCAGAGCAAGUCCAUAUCUCCCACACUGCCCCUGCCCCAUGCCUGCAUCCCACCGCCCCACUGGUGUCCGCACUUUAACUCCAUUUCACAGCCUGUUUAGGGGAGCAUUUUGUUCUGCUGCAUGCCCCAAUGAGCAGAAGAACUUCCCCACCCCAUUUCUUAACAUUAAAGCAGAAUAAAGUGUAGAAAUCUCUAAAUUAAGAAAGUACUUGAAGAGUACAUUCAGCACAGGACAAUGCAGAGGAAGGUUACAAGUAUAUUAGGAUGAGGGCACCACAAUUAUAUGAAGAAGUCUGGAGAGAAAAGAUUACAUUGUUCUGACAACAACAUUUUUCAAACAUUUAGACCUUUAAUAUCAUUAAUUUAAAGUACAAGAUUAAAUAUUUUAUGCAAAUAUUAGACAACAGCAAAGAGCUCCGCAUAUUAGGAUUUAAAACAAAUUGAAAGCAUGCAAGACAUAUUCAUUUCUUAAGCAGUUUAGUUAAAAAAUCGGUAUUGUCUCUAUUAGGAUUAACUGACAGUAACUCUUUGUGUUCAAAUGGAUUUAACUUCACUGUGGUUUGUUUUCCAGAUAUCAUUGUCCUCCAAUAAUCGUGGAUAAAGGGAAAUGUAAAAGGACAGAUCAAGUAAAAAAUAUAUCUUCACAUCAUAAACACAGAAUUAUGUUUAAAUUUCAUUACUAAAUGGGAUUUCAGCUUCAUAUACCAUGCCUAAUCCCACACUAUAAAAGAUGUAUAAAACCUCCUGACAAAUUCUAACAGACUUUGUGGAAGUUGCAUAUAUUGAUUAAAACAUCAAGCAGUUACAUACAAACCAAUAAUGAAUUACUUCUUGUUGGAAGAUAAAACUUUGUGAUAUUUAAAAUUACAGACUUGAAAGUAAGUAAAAUUACCCCUAAUUAUGCAGAAGGGAGCAACACCUUAGCAGUAAACAAGAUAAGCACCUCAAACAGCACUAAUAAUUUUAAUUAACAUUUCCUAGUUUCCUUUCACCUCCUCUCAAGGUCAUCUGCUACCUUUUCCUUGUGCAACAUUACAGCACGGUGUUAAAAACUUACAUUCCAUUACUAAUCACUUUGAUAAGCCAAAGAAAAAAAUACUUUCCAGGAAAGAUUUUUAUUUUAAAUCACUUAAUUGUGUGCGAAAACAAAUAUUGCAUUGGGUAAAGCUGUCGAGAAAGCUUUUGCAGUGAAUUGCUAUCAGACAUCAGAUUCCAACAGCUGGGAUUCGGUCGCUCAUUUGGGGCCUGAUUCUGCACACCAGAGGCAAAAUUCCUCUGGGAGCUCUGCAGAAACCCAUUCAUAUUUCAGGUAUAAAUUUAAACAUUUGGAUUAUACCCAAACUGUUGAAUAUUCAGAUCGUAAUCAAAGUUCAAAAGACUCCUAAAGUGUGAACACUGAAAGGGAAAAUUUGGCAAAAUGUGAUAAUCUACACAGUAUUUCUGUUAUUUUUUUUCCUUGAGCACCAAUUAAUAAAUGUACAUUCAAGAUUUAU
Neopsephotus bourkii (Bourke's parrot) is the source of this 4035-nucleotide long non-coding RNA. RefSeq lists it as uncharacterized. NCBI's taxonomy places the organism in Eukaryota, Metazoa, Chordata, Aves, Psittaciformes, Psittacidae. The record is from RefSeq and is a predicted model, not a curated record. The transcript has 2 exons.